CCUACGGGAGGCAGCAGUGAGGAAUAUUGGUCAAUGGGCGGGAGCCUGAACCAGCCAAGUCGCGUGAAGGAAGAAGGUACUUAGUAUUGUAAACUUCUUUUGUCGGGGAACAAAGGCGGAGACGCGUCUCCGGAUGAGUGUACCCGAAGAAAAAGCAUCGGCUAACUCCGUGCCAGCAGCCGCGGUAAUACGGAGGAUGCGAGCGUUAUCCGGAUUUAUUGGGGUUAAAGGGUGCGCAGGCGGGAGAUCAAGUCAGAGGUAAAAUGUCGGGGCGAAACCCCGGCCGGCCGUUGAAACUGGUUUUCUGGAGUUGGAGAGAGGUAAGCGGAAUUCGUGGUGUAGCGGUGAAAUGCAUAGAUAUCAGGAAGAACUCCGGUGGCGAAGGCAGCAUACCGGCUCCAAACUGACGUUGAGGCACGAAAGCGUGGGGAUCGAACAGGAUUAGAUACCCUUGUAGUC
RNAcentral lists this ribosomal RNA (459 nucleotides) under uncultured bacterium. Its description in RNAcentral is "partial 16S ribosomal RNA". It matches the Rfam family "Bacterial small subunit ribosomal RNA", at positions 338 to 795 of the family's 1533-position model. The record is from RNAcentral.